RNAcentral lists this ribosomal RNA (397 nucleotides) under uncultured bacterium. RNAcentral's name for it is "partial 16S ribosomal RNA". It matches the Rfam family "Bacterial small subunit ribosomal RNA", at positions 523 to 918 of the family's 1533-position model. The record is from RNAcentral.
AUACGUAGGUGGCGAGCGUUGUCCGGAAUUACUGGGCGUAAAGGAUGCGUAGGUGGAUAUUUAAGUGGGAUGUGAAAUCCCCGGGCUCAACCCGGGAACUGCAUUCCAAACUGGGUAUCUAGAGUGCAGGAGAGGAAAGCGGAAUUCCUAGUGUAGCGGUGAAAUGCGUAGAUAUUAGGAGGAACACCAGUGGCGAAGGCGGCUUUCUGGACGGUAACUGACACUGAGGCAUGAAAGCGUGGGUAGCAAACAGGAUUAGAUACCCUGGUAGUCCACGCCGUAAACGAUGGGUACUAGGUGUAGGAGGUAUCGACCCCUUCUGUGCCGUCGUUAACACAAUAAGUACCCCGCCUGGGGAGUACGGUCGCAAGACUAAAACUCAAAGGAAUGGACGGGG